Non-coding RNA from Ameiurus melas (black bullhead), 73 nucleotides. The record is from the annotation of a GenBank genome assembly. Lineage: Eukaryota; Metazoa; Chordata; Actinopteri; Siluriformes; Ictaluridae.
GAAGCGGUGGCUCGGUGGUUAAGACGUUGGAUUUCUGAUCAGAAGGUCGUGGCUUCAAACCCCAGCAGUGACA